AGAGAAUCCCUGGUUUCCUCCUCACAGGUCAGAGAAUGUUGGAGGAAUGGCCAGUGCCUCUGAAACUGACCCCCAACCCAGGAUGAAGACCCAGCAAAGCAAUGUAAAAGGGAAAAGUAGGAACUCUUUCUUUCAGUGGGUCUUUCAGUCGGCACUACAAGCUCUCCUGAUGAUCUUCACUCUGUGCUACAGCUCCUCACAGCCUCACAGAGGUGAAGCUGAUAGUGAUGAAGUUUGGAGCAGAGAAGAAUCCAACAGGAACCACAGCCCCGGGUAGAGAGAGACAGAGACAGAGACAGAGAGAGAGAGAGAGAACAGGGGAGAAGCAUUAUUCCUCCCUCACCCUCGAGUGCUCACAGUGGUGAUUAAACUGAGAGGAUUCACAGUUUAAUAGACAGAAUGCUGUGAUGUGAGGGAGAACAGAAGAGCUGGUUCUGUUUCCACGUGGAUCUGCUAAGAGAAACUUCUUUAAAACGUGUGGAGCUUCAGAAGCUUUUCAUUCAUUUCCUAUAUAAUCACAGAACUGAUAUACAUGUAAAUCUCCUGUACUGGAGGACUUUGCUUUUCUGGUGGACGUUAAAAUUAUUUUUCCAUCAAAUAUUAAAAUCAGUCACUCAUACCAGCAGUCAGACUGGUCUACCAGUAACCAGUGAGUGAUGCUCAGUGUUGAAGAAUUUGAUGCUUAUUGAUGUCCUACACCAUCUACCAUCUUUAGCAGACCCUCAGUCCCAUAGCAAACAGAUUAGUUUGUGAAAUUCUGACAUUAAUGCGAAGUUUUCACAAAAACUACAAACUGCAACAAAUAAAUUUAGAACAAGAAUCUUCCUCAACGUGGAGAAAAAUGAUACAGUUGGAGGUAUAAGAAGCGAGUGUGGAUGAAAAGUCUACAGUAAAGUACAGUUGGAGAUAUAAGAAGUGGGUGUGGAGGGAAAG
Pygocentrus nattereri (red-bellied piranha) is the source of this 933-nucleotide long non-coding RNA. RefSeq lists it as uncharacterized. Lineage: Eukaryota; Metazoa; Chordata; Actinopteri; Characiformes; Serrasalmidae. The record is from RefSeq and is a predicted model, not a curated record. The transcript has 4 exons.